CACGUAGGGCGCAAGCGUUGUCCGGAAUUAUUGGGCGUAAAGAGCUCGUAGGUGGUCUGUUGCGUCCGCUGUGAAAUCUCAGGGCUUAACCCUGAGCCUGCAGUGGAUACGGGCAGACUAGAGGUAGGUAGGGGAGAAUGGAAUUCCUGGUGUAGCGGUGAAAUGCGUAGAGAUCGGAAGGAACACCAGUGGCGAAGGCGGCUACCUGGCCUGAUACUGACACUGAGGCACGAAAGCGUGGGGAGCAAACAGG
RNAcentral lists this ribosomal RNA (253 nucleotides) under uncultured bacterium. Its description in RNAcentral is "partial 16S ribosomal RNA". It matches the Rfam family "Bacterial small subunit ribosomal RNA", at positions 524 to 776 of the family's 1533-position model. The record is from RNAcentral.